This is a long non-coding RNA of Brassica napus (rape), 2526 nucleotides long. RefSeq lists it as uncharacterized. The transcript has 2 exons. The record is from RefSeq and is a predicted model, not a curated record. Lineage: Eukaryota; Viridiplantae; Streptophyta; Magnoliopsida; Brassicales; Brassicaceae.
UAGAAUCUAAAAAAAAAAAUUAAAGUUCUCAAACAUUUAUUUGCCAAUAACCAUCCUUAAAGCUUUGCUCAUUCACAAAAAAUAAUAUUCUUUACAUAAAUUGCAAACAAGUUUUGUUUUUUGACUAGAGACCCAACUUUAAAUUAUACCACUAAAAUAUUUUAAUAUUUAAUUAUUCAGAAAUAACAAGUUAAUGUUCUUAAAACAAUAACCAUCCUUAAAUCUUUGCUCAUUCAAAAAAAUAAUAUUCUUUACAUAAAUUGGAAACAAGUUUUGUUUUUUGACUAGAGACCCAAGUUUAAAUUAUACCACUAAAAUAUUUUAAUAUUUAAUUGUUCAGAAAUAUAUAUAUUUAUAUAUUCGAGAGUAGACAAUGCAUAGAUGAUACUAAAUUGAUCGCAAGAAUUCUUUUUGGAAAACACAAUAUAACUAGUAUGGUAUACAAAGAACUUUUAAAAAAUUUAUGAAAAUGUUUAAGCCCGCAUCGCGGACAAAACACCUAGUUCUUAAUAUACUGAUUAAUUUAUUAUAUAAAUAACUCUAGGGUGAUUUUGCUGUAUAACCAUAUUGAGAAAAAAUAAAGAAUAUAGCUAUGUGUUGAAAAAUGUGUCAAUUUGCCAUAUUAUUGGACAUUAUAGUCCUUUACGAGCGCGUGAAUGUGUGUAUAUCACACACUACAACCAAUACUAUUCUAUUUAUGUUGUCAAUAUAGAAUGGAUUAUUUCGAACAUAAAUAUAACAAUAGAGAAUAAUAUAAUUUUUUUAAUACUAUUUAUUUAUAGGGUUCAAUGCAAUUUAAUCAGUGGACAAUAUGAACAAGCAUAUUUAUUCGUAGGACAAGUGUUUAAUGUAAAAUAAAUUAUGUGAAAUAACAUAAUUAGUUGAUAUAUUACAAAAUAAAAUAUACCAUUCUAUAUUUGAUGACCAUAUAGUAUAUCAUGUAGAUAUAUGUAUAUGAAAAAAAAUAUUGAGAGUAAGGGGGAAAGGAAGAAAAGCGAAGACGGGGAUGAUAAAAAUGAAAAAAGAGUUUACGGACGAAGCUGAAAAGAUGCAUAAUGUCUAAUAAAUAGAAGAGUAUAAAGAACAUGAUGGGAUGAUAAAAAAAGAAGAGGAAAGAAGUACAAAGAGGAAAAUGGAGAGAGAGAGAGAGAGGAAAGUAAGAGGAGAGAAGAGGCGGGGGAGGGAAAGAAGUGAAGAGAGAGAGAGAAUCUGGGAGAGGAAAAAGAGGAGAAAAAAAAGUGUAAUUUCUAUUCUAUUUUAUAUUUUAUAAAUAGAAUACAACAAUAUAAUAUUUGAACAUUAUAUAUUAGAGAAAGAGAGGGGAAAAAAGAAGUGAAAGAGAGAGGGAGAAGGAAAAGAAAGAGUGAUAUGUGGAUGGAGAUUGGAGAGGGAGAUUGAUAGAGAUUGAGGAAAGAUGAAUUUUAUUGCUACUAUUCUAUAUAACUUUAUGUAAUAGAAUAGAACAAAACUUUAUUAUUAUUGCAUAUAUUCAAUUUUAUAAAUAUAUGUUAGUUUUACAAAAUUCAAAACAUGUCAUAUACGAAAAAAAAUCUAUGUUUUUUAUAAGUAUAUAAGAAAUUCAAAUUAUAAUUUUUCUAACUUAUAAAGUUAAUUAAAAAGAGAGGUGAAAAUGAGAAAGGGUAAUAUGGCAAAUAAUAUAUAAAUAUCAUAGCCUAUUUUUUGUUAUGGUUAUACACUUAAUUUUUAUUCCACUAUGGACAUGAUACCCAAUUUCCCAUAACUCUAUCAGGGCAGAACAUUAGACCAUCAACAUCCUUGGAUCCUUAAAAGGGGUCUUUAGCAAAAAAAUUUUAUUAAAAUUAUGGGGUCCCAGCAAAAACUAAAUAACCGGUAACAAAAACUACAAAAUAAGGACCGAUUUACGUUGGAUCUUUGCACUGUUCGUGGGCUUCACCGACGCAUGGCGGCCCGCGAUUGGUUCCCUUUAAAUUUUUUUUUUCAGAUGGAAAAAGAAAAAAAAAUUUCCUAAGAAACCUAUCAGGGAUAAUCAUGCCCUUAGGACUCUUGUCAAGGAUGGUUUAAUUAUCAGGAAACUCUCCAAGAUCCACUCACGUGCUCAUGCAAGGACUUUGAACGAGGCCAAACGAAAGGGUCGUCACUCUGGUUCUGGUAAGAGAAAGGGCACAAGAGAGGCGAGGCAACCGACCAAGUUUCUCUGGAUGAAUAGAAUGAGGGUGUUGAGGCGUUUCCUUCUCAACUACCGUGAGAAAAACAAGAUCGACAAGCACAUGUACCAUGAAAUGUACAUGAAAGUGAAGGGUGGGGUGUUUAAGAACAAGUGUGUGCUUAUGGAGAGCAUCCACAAGUACACGGUUGAGAAGGCGAGAGAGAAGACACUCUCUGACCAGUUUGAGACCAAACGUGUUAAGAACAAGGCUAGCAGGGAGAGAAAGUUGGCGAGAAAGUUGGCGAGAAGGGAGAAACGUUUAGCUAGAGGAGCCGGAGGUGGAGAGAUAGCUGUUGUGUCUUAAGUUUACUUCUUCAAUAAGAUAUUGUUUUCUUUUA